This 461-nucleotide ribosomal RNA is filed under the name uncultured bacterium. RNAcentral's name for it is "SSU rRNA". It matches the Rfam family "Bacterial small subunit ribosomal RNA", at positions 26 to 518 of the family's 1533-position model. The record is from RNAcentral.
AGGAUAAACGCUGGCGGCGUGCCUAACACAUGCAAGUCGAACGCCCUACGCAAGUAGGGAGUGGCGGACGGGUGAGGAACACGUGGGUUAUCUGCCUUUCGGUGAGGAAUACCAGCGAGAAAUCGCUGACAAUACCGCAUACGGUUCUUUCGUAAGAGAGAACGAAAGUCGCAAGACGCCGGGAGAUGAGCCUGCGCCCGAUUAGUUAGUUGGUGGGGUAAAAGCCUACCAAGACUGCAAUCGGUAGCUGGUCUGAGAGGACGAUCAGCCACACUGGGAUUGAGAACGGCCCAGACUCCUACGGGGGGCAGCAGUGAGGAAUUUUCGUCAAUGGGGGGAAACCCUGAACGAGCAACGCCGCGUGCAGGAAGAAGGUUUUCGGAUCGUAAACUGUCUUUUCUGUGGGAAGAGAACGGACGGUACCACAGGAAGAAGCCCCGGCUAACACGCGCAGCAGCCGC